This 249-nucleotide ribosomal RNA is filed under the name Salmonella enterica. Its description in RNAcentral is "partial 16S ribosomal RNA". It matches the Rfam family "Bacterial small subunit ribosomal RNA", at positions 1 to 246 of the family's 1533-position model. Lineage: Bacteria; Pseudomonadati; Pseudomonadota; Gammaproteobacteria; Enterobacterales; Enterobacteriaceae. The record is from RNAcentral.
AAAUUGAAGAGUUUGAUCAUGGCUCAGAUUGAACGCUGGCGGCAGGCCUAACACAUGCAAGUCGAACGGUAACAGGAAGCAGCUUGCUGCUUCGCUGACGAGUGGCGGACGGGUGAGUAAUGUCUGGGAAACUGCCUGAUGGAGGGGGAUAACUACUGGAAACGGUGGCUAAUACCGCAUAACGUCGCAAGACUAAAGAGGGGGACCUUCGGGCCUCUUGCCAUCAGAUGUGCCCAGAUGGGAUUAGCU